UACGUAGGUGGCAAGCGUUGUCCGGAAUUAUUGGGCGUAAAGCGCGCGCAGGCGGUCCUUUAAGUCUGAUGUGAAAGCCCACGGCUCAACCGUGGAGGGUCAUUGGAAACUGGGGGACUUGAGUACAGAAGAGAAGAGUGGAAUUCCACGUGUAGCGGUGAAAUGCGUAGAGAUGUGGAGGAACACCAGUGGCGAAGGCGACUCUUUGGUCUGUAACUGACGCGGAGGCGCGAAAGCGUGGGGAGCAAACAGG
RNAcentral lists this ribosomal RNA (253 nucleotides) under uncultured bacterium. RNAcentral's name for it is "partial 16S ribosomal RNA". It matches the Rfam family "Bacterial small subunit ribosomal RNA", at positions 524 to 776 of the family's 1533-position model. The record is from RNAcentral.